GGGUAAAAUUAAUAAUUUAAGUUUAAUAAAAAAAAUUUUAAUAUUAAAAAGAAAUAAUGGGGGUUUGAGUAUUUUUAAUAGAAAAAAUUAAUAUAUUUAUAGUUAAUUAUUACUGUAAAGGAAUUUAUAAAUAAUUGAAAUUAAUUAAUAAAAAAGUAAAUUUAAUUUAUUGUAUCUUGUGUAUCAGAGUUUAUUAAAUAAUAAUAAUUUAUUUAAAUAAAUCUCGAAUUUAAAAGAGUUAAUUAAUUAUAAAAGUUAAUGUUGUAUAAUUAUUUUUAAUAAUUAAUUAGAAAUGAAAUGUUAAUCGUUUUUAAAUAUAUCUAGUUUUUUUAGAAAAAAAUUUAAUUUAAAAUUUAAAUAAUUUUAUAAUUUUUUAAUUAAUUAUGAAAAUUUAAAAUUUAAUAAUUUAGGGGAUAAGCUUUAAAUUAAAUUUUUAUAAUUAAAAUUAAUUUAAAAUUAAAAUUUUUAAUAUUUAUAUUGUUUAUAAAUUAUAGUUUAUUAUAAAAAAUUUUAAUUGUAAAUAAAAUUUAAAAAAAAAUUUAAUUUUUUAUAAAAGAAAUAAUUUAUAAUUAAAUAAAAUUAGGUAUAAUGAUAAAAUUAGUAUAAUAUUAUAAAUAAAAUUAAAUAUAUUAAUGAGAUAAAUUAAAGGAAUUCGGCAAAAUUUUAUAUUCACUUGUUUAUCAAAAACAUGUCUUUUUGUUAAUAAUUUAAAGUCUAAUCUGCCCACUGAUAAUUAAUAUUAAAGGGCUGCAGUAUAUUGACUGUACAAAGGUAGCAUAAUCAUUAGUCUUUUAAUUGAAGACUUGUAUGAAAGAUUUGAUGAAAUAUAAACUGUCUCUGAUUUAAUAAUAGAAAUUAAUUUUUUAGUUAAAAAGCUAAAAUAUAAUUAAAAGACGAGAAGACCCUAUAGAGUUUUAUAUUUUAUUUAUUUUAUAUUUAUUAUAUAAAUAAUUAUAUAAAAUAAUUAAAAUAUUUUGUUGGGGUGAUAGAAAAAUUUAAAAAACUUUUUUUAUUUUUUUACAUAAAUAAGUGAUUAAUUGAUCCAUUAUUAGUGAUUAAAAGAAAAAAUUACCUUAGGGAUAACAGCGUAAUUUUUUUUUUUAGUACAUAUAAGAAAAAAAGUUUGCGACCUCGAUGUUGGAUUAAGAUAAAAUUUAAAUGCAAAAGUUUAAAAUUUUGAUCUGUUCGAUCAUUAAAAUCUUACAUGAUCUGAGUUCAAACCGGUGUAAGCCAGGUUGGUUUCUAUCUUUAAUAAAUAUAAAUAUUUUAGUACGAAAGGAUCAAAUAUUUAAAAUAGUUUUAUUUUUGUUGAAUUUUAUUAAUUUUUUGUUAU
This 1333-nucleotide ribosomal RNA is filed under the name Salamis cacta. Its description in RNAcentral is "16S ribosomal RNA". Lineage: Eukaryota; Metazoa; Arthropoda; Insecta; Lepidoptera; Nymphalidae. The record is from RNAcentral.